This is an RNA transcript of Carya illinoinensis, 4161 nucleotides long. RefSeq lists it as uncharacterized. Lineage: Eukaryota; Viridiplantae; Streptophyta; Magnoliopsida; Fagales; Juglandaceae. The record is from RefSeq and is a predicted model, not a curated record. The transcript is spliced from 8 exons.
AUGAGUAUCAUGGUGUCAAUUGUGGGCAGUAUUACAUGAUGUAAAUAGGUAUUCUGAUCAACACUAAGAAUUAAUUAAUGCUAUUGCAAAUUAUACAUGAUUGAAUUUAUACACUAUAGAGCAGGAUCAAGAGCUGUUUCUAAGUAAAAGAUAGAUUUACUUAAAAGCUUAUUUAAGUUAAUUGGUAACUUAAAUAACUAGUGAGUCUUAAUUAAAACCAGAUGGCAAACGUACAGUUCAUUAUCAGUGGAGUGGGGGGAAAGUUUUGGCACUGGAUUUUAGUGGGCAGGAGAAUGUUUACUGAAAGUUGGAAUAACAGGGGUAAAUUUGGAAGUUAUCACAUUUAAACUGUUGCAUAUCAGCUGAUGAAGUACACAGUUGUUGCUCAGUACAUAUAGACGAAGCUGAAGAACUUGCCACUAUGUUUUUGCACUUGAAUUCAAUACCUGCUCUUGUCUUCCCUGUUAAAGUAGAAAGGUUGUGAAUUUUUGCAACAACACUGCCAACAACCACUUGGUAAGAGGACGCAGAUUUCUGCUUUGAAGUUAAACAGUUCAAGGUAAGUUCAGAAGGUAUUUCUUGCUAACUUUAUUCAUUAACGCUAUUCUUGAAGACUCAAAGGUUGGUUUGUUCUUCUAUAGACUUGUCUCUAUCCUUUUAUUUUCUGGACAACAUUUUUUAUUGUUGUUCAGAAUUUUCUUACUGGUUUCCUGUUGGCUUUCUUCUUUUUCUUAUUUUUUGAGAUUCAUGCUGAGAUUUUCUAAUGGGUACGAAGUUGGAGAUUGAGAGGGUUGUAGUGAUUUCUAUUAGCUGGGAUGUAUUCGGGAAGAAUAUAUCUCAUCAGAAAAUUUUUUUCUGAUGAGUUAUGUGGGAUAAGGAAAUAGAGAGUUGUCCAUUAAAUGGAGAGUGAAAUGCUUGAGUACAGAGUCCAAAAAAGGAAAAAAAAAUUUACUGCAUUGUGUGACUUAACCAAACCUGUUUAAUAAUUGGUUAGGCUUGGUUUUGGAGACUGCAAUGCACUCCAUAUAUCUUAACCAACCUGUUUCAUAGUCAAGUAUGCUUACUAGUGAAUUGAAAUCCUGAUAAUUAUGGUACAUUAAAUAUCUUGAACCUUAUCCUUCGGUGAAUUGAUACGGUUACUAUAUUGGGCAGGUCAUGCUGCAUGCCCAGUAACCAGCCAUUCAGUCAUUGAAGAUAGUUCAAAAGUUCUCUAUCACUUGGAUUACGAACCUCAUAAGGUGGGGUGUUACCAACAGCAGCAUUGGUCCAGUACAAGAAAAAAUAGGAGAUAAAGUUGGAUAACUAGAUGGAACAAAGUGGGAGAGGAAGGGGUAGAGGAGUUCAACACUUCAAAAGAUGAUGUGGACCUUAUUCAAGAGGCUGACCACGGCCUCCACUUAUUUGCCAAUGGAGUCAGCGAGAGACUCAAGGCGAGAGCUCUGAUGAGUCAACACAGCCACCCUCCAUGGAAAGAAAUACUGUCAACGCUAAUCCAAUACCAACAACGGACACAAAUAGAGACAAUAUUUCAAGUUGGAGUCAGCGAGAGGGUCAACACGAGAGAUUAGAUGAGUCAGCACAACCACCCUCCGUAGAAAGAAAUGAUGUCAAUGCCGAUCCAAUACCAACAGCGGACACCAAUAGGGACAAUAUUUGGCGAUGGAAUCAGCGAGAGGGUCAAGGCGAGAGCUAUGAUGAGGCAACACAGCCACCAUCUGUAUUCAGAAAUAAUGUGAACACCAAUCCAAUACCAACAGCGGACACUAAUAGAGACCCAAUUUGGCGAUGGUUAAUGUGAGAGGUUAAUGGGGAAAUGCAUGAUGAGUCAACACAGCCACCAUCCAUAGAAAGAUAUCAUGUCUACGCCAAUCCAAUACCGACAGCAGACACUAAUAGAGACAAUAUUUGGCGAUGGAGGUCAGCGAGAGGGUCAAGGUGAGAGAUAUGAUGAGUCAACACAGCCACCGAUCGUUCAAAUAAAUACUCCCAGAACCAAUCUGAUUCUGGGGGCCAUUUCUACUAGAGAUAAUAUUGAGGACGAAGCAACGGUUCCCGUAACAAACGUUGGUCAACAGAAACGUGGACGUGGGCCCGCUAAGUGUACUGAGUUCGAUAAAUUGAGGAGGCAUGAGAAAGUACCCUUGAGAAUAAAUGAUGGGGAAAUAACACCUUGCUAUGAGAAUGCCUCAUUCUUUACAACACGAGUAACGUGGAUUUUAAAACAUCAUGCGGACAUGAGCUUCGCAAGAUGGACGGAUGUACCCAAGUCCGUUAAGGAUGAGUUGAUUAACAGGGUCAGGGGUGACUUUGAAUUAGAUUGGGAACUUAAGAACCAUCGGUUGGUAGUUUGGAAGCAACUGCGUAAGAGAUUUAACGCCUUCCACCAUGAGCUUCACAAGAAGUAUUUGGCAUAUGCGAGUCAUGAGGAGGCAUUGGCCGGUGGGACAAGCUUGGUCUCGCUCUUGGUAUGGGUUAAGCUAUGUGGCCGAUGGGGAAGUGACCACUUCAAGAAAAUCUCAAACAUAAAUAAGGAGAAUCGUAAGAAGCUGAAGAUUAAUCACACUGCAGGGUAGAAAACGUUUGUGAGGAUCCUAGAGGAAAAGCGAUCUAAAGGAGCAAACUUAGUGGACUUCUACAAAGCAGUCCGUUGGUCAAGAAGAAUGAUAGAUUCGUCAUAGAUGCCAGUGAAGAUAUUUAUAAGGAGAUGGCUGGAAAGAUGGAUGACUUAGCCCCUGAGAAUUGCACUGAAGAGGCAGCUAAGGCUGUCUUUAGGGAGUUACUUGGGCAUAGGUCAGGAUAUGCACAAGGCCUCAGAGAGAUGGUGAUACCAGAGUCUACAAGAGAAAAGGACGUGUUACAAGCUAAAGAGUAUGCAAUGAUAGUGGAAAAACAUAAGAAAGAUGCGGAGGACUACAAGAGUUAACUAGAUCGUGUGAGGGAAGAAAUGCGAGUGGUUGUGGAGCAUCAAAUUGAAACUAAUGCUCUUUUGAGGAGUUUCAUGGCUUCAUUUUAGUCACGCGAGGGGGACGGAGUUCGGGGGAGACAGUGACCCCCGAAUUGCAUGCAAAAACCUUUUAGAUAUUUUUUGACUUAUUUUGGGUGCCUUUUUUGUGGGUUAAUAUGGUGCAUGCUUAUUGCAUGCUUUUUGGGAAAGAAGGAGAGGGUGGCUGGGGGAAAACAUAUAAAUAUAUACAUAUGUAUAUAUAUAUGUAGCAAUCUGCUGUCUAUAUAUGCCUUCUGUAUAGGGUACGAACUGGUCCUUUUUUUUGGAAGCCAAAAGGGCAGGUAUGGGAUGGUUGGGGGAGAAGCAAUUUCUCUACCUGGCAAUGUAUUAGAUAGUUAAUGAACAGACUAGCUUGUUUUAAACUAGUAAGUUAGCAUAUUAGGGGAGCAGUUCAAUGGGGUUACAUAUUUGAAGCAGAAUUAGAAAAAAUACAAUAUGUAAGUAUGACAAUUUUCACAGCAACUCGUGAAUUUACUUGGUCACACUCUCUCAAUUAUUAAGAAGAUAAUUGACAGGAUUGUUGGUAUGCAGGUACUGCAUAGACCCGUGGUUGGGAAUUGGUUGCCUUUAGGCUGUCGCAACUAGACAGCAAUGUGGGGGACAACAUCCAUAAGCAAUAUCCCAAAUCAAAAUGUUCAACUGUAAUGAAAAUGUGUGGAGAUGUCUGGUGGUUGGACAUAAUGUGACUUCAUUUUGAUAUUAAUGGGCGGCCACUUUCAUUUUUUUGUUGGAGGGCUAUAUAUGUUAAUUAAGAAGUUCCACCCACUCCAGCCAGAAAUGUGUAGGGCUAUGCUGCAAUGUGUGAUGACAGUUCAGAGGGCAUGGACCAAUAGGUUCAUUGAGUACAAUGCAAUUACAAUAUAUCAGUUAGGGGAUAUAUAAUGUGUAAGAAAUCAGUCUCUCCUCUCUUUCUAUGUGUGAAUUACAUGAAUGCACCAGUGUAUAUAUAUGGAUACUGAAAGUUUAAAUACAUGUGGCAAUUGUGGGGAUUGGACUAGUUAGUAGGGGCUGGGCAAUUGUAAGGAAGCAAGAAAAAAGUUCUGGAAACAGAGGGAAUUUUUGUUUGUACAAUGUCACUGGUUUCAGAGCUUGAUGAUCAAUGAAGCUGUGAUUUUGUAUGGCUAUAUGAUGUUUGGGUUGCAACAGUUUUAUUCUGA